GUGGGUAUACCUCAACUGGUAGAGCCCAUGCUCAGCAUGCAUGAGGUCCUGGGUUCAAUCCCCAGUACCUCCA
Molecule: transfer RNA, 73 nt
Organism: Camelus ferus (Wild Bactrian camel)
Lineage: Eukaryota; Metazoa; Chordata; Mammalia; Artiodactyla; Camelidae
Rfam family: tRNA
About the family: Transfer RNA (tRNA) molecules are approximately 80 nucleotides in length. Their secondary structure includes four short double-helical elements and three loops (D, anti-codon, and T loops). Further hydrogen bonds mediate the characteristic L-shaped molecular structure. tRNAs have two regions of fundamental functional importance: the anti-codon, which is responsible for specific mRNA codon recognition, and the 3' end, to which the tRNAs corresponding amino acid is attached (by aminoacyl-tRNA synthetases). tRNAs cope with the degeneracy of the genetic code in two manners: having more than one tRNA (with a specific anti-codon) for a particular amino acid; and 'wobble' base-pairing, i.e. permitting non-standard base-pairing at the 3rd anti-codon position.
Source: Rfam